UCUGGUCUCAGGUUUCUGGAAAAGAUGUAUUCUACUGAAUCUUGUUUUAACUAAGUAAAGGGAAGAAAAAAGCUACCAUAUAUAUUUUAACAUCUAGCAUGCAACAUAUGCAAAGAAAGGGGCAAGGUUUUAAUCUCACAAUUGUAAGCGGCAUUUUUUGACUCCCCCUGCUCCAAUGCAGACAUGCCUGUUAACAUGUAAAUGGUACCAUUUUUGUUGUUGUUGUUCUAGGCAUUAUAUUUGUGCAUUGAUCCAGAUGGAAUACCGAUGGCUUGGGAGUCUGGCUUCUAGUCAGUCAGUUCAGCUUCAUAGUUGGAGUAGCUGGAAUGGAGAUUGCCCAAACUUUUGAUACUAGCAGACAAUUUUCCCAUUCACUGGAACAUUUCUGAAUACAUUCUGUGCAUUAGAUGAACUGAAGGUAAAUAAGACCACAAGUUGGCUGCAAGCAACCCGCAUUUGGCUUCUAUUAGAAAAACAAAAUAUAUAAUUCAAAACACUCAUUAUUUGCGGCAUACUUCAGGGCAGCUAUCCAGCCCAAAUUAUUAUAUUAAACAAAAUAGCAAUGAUGUGAAUAGAUGAAAUAGCUCUUUAAUCAUUUGAGUCUAAUGGACUGGCCACUGAGCUAACUAUUUUUAUCUGUACAAAUGUUUGAUGAUAUGGAUUCUAGAAGGAUCAGUCUUUGUGAAUUGCAGCAACUGAGUUUUAGGUAGGGUUAAUUUUCCUCCUGGGAAACUGUUCUCUAAUUGUGUGUUUUUUAAAACAAUAAAAAUGUGACAUGAAGCUAAUAGCCAAACAAUUA
This is a long non-coding RNA of Pantherophis guttatus, 799 nucleotides long. RefSeq lists it as uncharacterized. NCBI's taxonomy places the organism in Eukaryota, Metazoa, Chordata, Lepidosauria, Squamata, Colubridae. The record is from RefSeq and is a predicted model, not a curated record.